GGUAGCGUGACCGAGGGGUCUAAGGCGCUGGAUUUAGGCUCCAGUCUCUUCGGGGGCGUGGGUUCGAAUCCCACCGCUGCCA
Danio rerio (zebrafish) is the source of this 82-nucleotide non-coding RNA. The record is from Rfam. Lineage: Eukaryota; Metazoa; Chordata; Actinopteri; Cypriniformes; Danionidae.